AUUGAACGCUGGCGGCAGGCCUAACACAUGCAAGUCGAGCGGAGGAAGGGAGCUUGCUCCUGGAUUCAGCGGCGGACGGGUGAGUAAUGCCUAGGAAUCUGCCUGGUAGUGGGGGAUAACGUCCGGAAACGGGCGCUAAUACCGCAUACGUCCUGAGGGAGAAAGUGGGGGAUCUUCGGACCUCACGCUAUCAGAUGAGCCUAGGUCGGAUUAGCUAGUUGGUGGGGUAAAGGCCUACCAAGGCGACGAUCCGUAACUGGUCUGAGAGGAUGAUCAGUCACACUGGAACUGAGACACGGUCCAGACUCCUACGGGAGGCAGCAGUGGGGAAUAUUGGACAAUGGGCGAAAGCCUGAUCCAGCCAUGCCGCGUGUGUGAAGAAGGUCUUCGGAUUGUAAAGCACUUUAAGUUGGAAGGAAGGGCAGUAAGUUAAUACCUUGCUGUUUUGACGUUACCAACAGAAUAAGCACCGGCUAACUUCGUG
This 484-nucleotide ribosomal RNA is filed under the name uncultured bacterium. Its description in RNAcentral is "partial 16S ribosomal RNA". It matches the Rfam family "Bacterial small subunit ribosomal RNA", at positions 30 to 507 of the family's 1533-position model. The record is from RNAcentral.